This 247-nucleotide long non-coding RNA is filed under the name Citrus x clementina. RNAcentral's name for it is "Citrus clementina (C. clementina) long non-coding RNA (CCLE_LNC002551)". Lineage: Eukaryota; Viridiplantae; Streptophyta; Magnoliopsida; Sapindales; Rutaceae. The record is from RNAcentral.
AAGCAAGAGAGAGGAAACAAACUUACGUUUUAAAGGUAACAGCGCCGCUGAAGCAGAUAAAGCAAUGGAGGCCAUAUAAGAUGCUAGUAAUGCUGCUUAAUACAGGUCUCGAAUCCAAGUAAUGCUGCUCAAUACAGGUCUCGAAUCAGAUUUAAAUUCAUAAAGUCUGAUGGUUUGUGAAUUUUCUGACCCGUCUAUGGCUCCAUUUUUUCCACGCUGCUUGCCUACAAGCAGAAAAGAAAACAGU